Long non-coding RNA from Hordeum vulgare subsp. vulgare (domesticated barley), 1168 nucleotides. RefSeq lists it as uncharacterized. Lineage: Eukaryota; Viridiplantae; Streptophyta; Magnoliopsida; Poales; Poaceae. The transcript has 3 exons. The record is from RefSeq and is a predicted model, not a curated record.
AUCUCUGCCCGCUGGCCAGCCAUGUCUCCUUCCACGACUGGAUCAACAUCACCCCCGUCCAAUGGAUUUAUCCCGUUCACCGGCGUUCGCGAUCGACGAGCUGCAGAAUCUCACAACGCUCGAGCUCCAGGCCCGCUCCCCGGCGAGGUGCCUGCGUGGUUCAUCCGCGGUCUCCUGCCGCCACUCGCCGUGGUCGAGCUCCGCUAGAUCGCAGUCAAUGGCACGCUCCCGCCCAAUCUCGGCUCAUCGGGGAUUCUGACUAGGCUUCUCCUCUUCGGGAACAGCCUCUCGGUCCAGGUUCCAGAAACGUUGCUCUCCGUCAAAGGCCUUCUAUCGUAUAAAUUUGUUAUAUUUACUUUAUACUUUCUGGGGUCCUCUAAGUGGCGGUUGUGCUUUUGACGUUUAUGAAUACAGCAAUGACAUUCAUAUUUGUCAAGGCAUUAUUACUGAAGAGACAUAAAAAUUAUAUAUGUGAAACUUUUGUUGACCUAUUAUUCCCACCUCAGAACAAAAGAUUAGAGGAAUAUGAUUUGUCUAUGUAUAUGGUUCGAAGAAUUGACCUGAUGUAGAAGUAUAUGAUUUUGUGUGACUAGCCGUGAGUAAAUAUUGUUGUUUCGACUGGCCGUGAGUAGUGCUGAGGACUUGCGGGUAUUUCUUAGGUAUUCUUUUUACUCAGGUUUGACCAUAGAAACGAACAAGUCUUAUGACCAUCUGUACUGUAGUAUUGAUUAUACUAAUUUGUUGAGAUUUCAGGAUUUCAUAAUCAGGGAAUGAAAUAAAUUCCCACUUUACAGGAUGAUGGAACAUGCCAUGGUGAAGAAUCACAGUCUCUACUGGAAGUAUCUCAACAGCCAGAGCUUAAAUGUAGAGGUUCUGACUGGAGAUCACCUGCAAUCAUUCUUGGACUUGAAUGCUUGGAGAGCACACUAUGCCACGUUAAGUGAGGAAAAACGGUUCGUUUCUGUACACAAGUCGUGAUGAUGAUCUAUGAAACCUUAGAAGCGAUAUUCUGAAGUAAGCCCUUGGUGCCGCAGUGGCUGGAGCUUGAACAUUCUAUCGCAUAGACGCGGGUUUGAGUCCAAGUUCUCCCUUUUUUCAUUUUUAAUCUUUUUCCUUUCCUAUCCUUAUAUUACCUAUACUAAUAAAAGUCGUAUCACUUCUGUCCGUA